GGGCCUGGGCCGGGUCCAGGGCCUGGUCCGGGUCCGGGUCCAGGGCCAGAGCCCAGACCAGG
RNAcentral lists this microRNA precursor (62 nucleotides) under Jaculus jaculus (lesser Egyptian jerboa). RNAcentral's name for it is "miRNA (ENSJJAG00000002152.1)". Lineage: Eukaryota; Metazoa; Chordata; Mammalia; Rodentia; Dipodidae. The record is from RNAcentral.